Molecule: small nucleolar RNA, 102 nt
Filed under: Otolemur garnettii (small-eared galago)
Lineage: Eukaryota; Metazoa; Chordata; Mammalia; Primates; Galagidae
Source: RNAcentral
AUAUAUAUGAGCAGUGUUAUUUCUUAUGUGUAUACAAAUAGUUGAAGGUUAAUUCACAGUAUAACUAUAAAUAGUAAUGCUGCCAGUCUCCUUCAGACAAGG